CCCGACCAAUUUUCCAUCUAUUAACUCAAAAUAUGAUUACAGCUUUUAAAUUUUGUGCGCGAGCCAUUUUUAGUUUGUUGGAAAAGACACACCCCCCUGGUUCACAAAAUUUGAGUUAGAGAUUUUUUUUUCAUUAUUUUACAUUAUAGGUACCCAAAGAAGCUAUAUAUAUAAAAAACCGGAUACAAAUAGGUGAUUUGCGAAAUUGAGAGCAAUUUCAAAUCUGUUCAUUAUACACCCUGUAUACCUGUUUGGAAAUAUGACGAGCCUGUAUAGAAAUUAGAUUUUUAAAUAAUUACACCACAAAAUUACAGAACUUAGGGACCGGUCAUUAUUUAUGGUGGGGGGUGGCACCAAAGAGAAAUGUUUUUCGUAGCAAAAAUUUUGCUGACCCAACCAUUAAAAAGUAAACAAAAUUGAUUACCCAACCUCAAAUAUCAAUUAAAAAAUAAAUACCCACCCCUGGCCAAAAAAUUUACAAAAGGUACUAUUCAGUUGUCACAUAUGUC
Paramuricea clavata is the source of this 509-nucleotide non-coding RNA. The record is from the annotation of a GenBank genome assembly. Lineage: Eukaryota; Metazoa; Cnidaria; Anthozoa; Malacalcyonacea; Plexauridae.